AUGACGUCAGCGGACCCCGGGGAAGUAGGGAGGAGGGGGUGAAGAGAAGAUGGCGGCGCGGCGCAAUCGGCGUCCAUCCCCUGUCCCCCUGAGAUUAUGUAUUGCAUUGAACUGCUGCUGCUAAGUUAACAAAUUUCACGUCACGUGCCGCUGAUAAUAAACCCGAGUCUGAUUCUGAAAUCCUUGACUAGUGGGAUUUGUCAAAAGGGGAACACAUCACAUAGCAUCCACACAAAUGAGAUUUCACAAGUUUGGUGGAGCCGGAUACUGCCUUCCCCUAGACUAACACUGAACCUGUGGGUUACAAAAGUAAGUACAGUAUAUUCCAUCAUAUAAAUUCUUGAAAUUCAGCUACAGAUCAUUGUAUGAUGUUGUGGACAUCUCUGAAACUUGGCUAAAGUGUGCUUGCAUUGGGAGCUGAACUUCCUAGUAUAUACAGUGUAUCAGAGGGUGGUGUGGCCCUGUGUAAAAGAAAUAAUAAAUAAUUUGAAAGGGAUGACAUAGGAAUGGAACAUAUAAAGGCUCUAUGGGUUGAGUUAAGAAAUAGCAAGGUAAAAGGACCCUAAUGACAGUUGUAUACAGCCCUCCAAACAGCAGCUGUAAUUUGGAUUACAAAUCACAGCAGAAGAUAGAAAAUGUGUGUCAGAAGGGCAAUGUCAUGAUAAUCUUUGGGGAUUUUAGCAUGAAAGUGGAUUGGGAAAACCAGGUCAGUACUGGACCUCAAGAGAGAGGAUUUGUAAUGUCUAAGGGAUGGCUUCUUAGAACAGCUUGUUGUUCAGCCCUCUAGGGGAUUGGCUGUUCAAGAUUGAGUGUUGUGUAAUGAUCCAGAGGUGAUAAGAGAGCUUAAAGUUAAGGAACCAUUAGGAACAGUGAUCACAUCAAAUUCACUUUGAAAUUUAAGAAGGAGAAACUAAGUUCCAAUGUGUCGGUAUUUCAGUGGAAUAAAGGAAAUUACAAUGGCAUGUGAGGGGAACUAGCCAAGGUUGACAGGAAGGGACACUAGCAGGAAGGACAGCAGAGCAGCAAUGGCUGGAGUUUCUGUGAAAAAUGAGGGAAGUACAAGACACAUAUAUUCCAAAUAGGAAGAAAUUUUCGAAUGGAAGAAGGAUACUACUGUGGCUGACAUGUGAAGCCAGAGCCAAAGUAAAAGCAAAAGAGAGGACAUAAAAGGAAGCCAAAGCUAGUGAGAAGAUAGAAGAUUAGGAAACUUUUAAAAACUUGUAAAAGGAAAAGAUGAAUUAUGAAAAAAGCUGAUGACUAAUACUAAAAGCAUUUUUAAGUAUAUAAAGGAUAAAAGACAGUUGAGGGCAGAUAUAGGACCAAUAGAACAUGACACUGGAUGGCUGAGGAGCUGAAUGCGUAUUUUUACUUGGCAGUCCUUGUGCAGGAUUCUCUAAAGUUAACCUCCAGGUUGAGACAGUUGUGAUUGUUGGCAUUCAUUUCUAGAGGUUGGCAUUCAUUUCUAGAGGUAUAGAACAGAAGAGCAUGGUAAUGAUGUUGAGGCUCUAUAAGGCACUCGUGAGAGCACACUUGGAGUAUUGUGUGCAGCUUUGGGCUCAAUUUAGAAAGGAUGCACUGACAUUGGAGAGGGUUCAGAGAAGAUUCAUGAGAAUGAAUUCAGGAAUGAAAGGAUUACCAUAUGAGGAACGUCUGCCAGCUCCUGGGCUAUAUUCCCUGAACCAGGAGAAUGAGGGGGAUCUCAUAAAAACAUUCUGAAUGUUAAAGGCCUGAGCAGAUUAGAUAUGGCAAAGUUUUUCAUAUGGUAGGGGAGUCUAGGACAAGAGGGCAGGACUUCAGGACUCUGUCCAUUUAGAACAGAUAUGGAGAAUUUGGCUGUGGAGGCCAAAUCAUUGGGUGCAUUUAAGGCAGAGAUAGACAGGUUCUUGAUUAGCCAGGGCAUCCAAGAGUAUGGGGAGAAGGCAGGGGAGUGGGGAUGACUGGAAAUAUUGGAUCACUCCACGACUGCAUGGCAGAGCAGACGAUGGGCCAAAUGGCCUACUUCUCCUAUAUUUUAUGGUCUUAUGAUGUUAUAUAAGAUAUAGGAGCAGAAUUAAGCCAUUCAGCUCAUUGAAUCUGCUCUGCCAUUUCAUCAGAGCUGGAUCAUUAUCCCUAUCAACCACAUUCUUGUCUUCUUCCUGCAAACCUUGAUGCCCUGACAAAUCAAGAACCUAUCAACCUCUCUUGUGAACAUACCCAAAUUGGAGGUGCUGUUCUGCCUAGAAAUCCUCUGAACACCAAGGAAUUUAAGGUUACUGACCCUGACCCUCUCCACCUCCGAUCCCCAAAUGAGGACUUGUUGUGGACCUCCAGUUUCUUGCACCUGCAGUCAGUAAUCAGCUCUUUCAGUUUGGUGACGUUGACUGAGGGUUUGUUGUUGUAGCACCAUUCAACCAGAUUUCCAGUCUCCCACCUACAGUACUGGUAUCGUCAGCAAACUUUUAUACGGUGUUGGAGCUGAGCUCAGCCACACAGUCAGGUGUAAAGCGAGUGGAACGGGGGCGAAGCACAGCUUCUGGUUGAACGUUGUGGAGGAGAUGUAGCCAAUCUGAUCUACUGGGCUCUGCCAGAGUGGAAAUCAAACACCCAAGUGCACAAGGAGGUAUUGAGGGCAAGAUCUUGGAGCUUAUUGAUUAGUUUUGGAGGGGAUGAUGGUACUGAAUGUUGAGCUGUAGUCAAUGAAGAGCAUCCUGAUGUAUACAUCUUCAUUAUCCAUUCUGUUUAACAGUUUUGCUCUCUCUCUCAUCUCAUACCCAACCCCUCCCAUCUCUCUUGCUCCUUCCCACCCCUGAACACUCCCCUGUCCGUC
This is a long non-coding RNA of Hypanus sabinus (Atlantic stingray), 2806 nucleotides long. RefSeq lists it as uncharacterized. The record is from RefSeq and is a predicted model, not a curated record. The transcript has 3 exons. Lineage: Eukaryota; Metazoa; Chordata; Chondrichthyes; Myliobatiformes; Dasyatidae.